RNAcentral lists this ribosomal RNA (253 nucleotides) under uncultured bacterium. RNAcentral's name for it is "partial 16S ribosomal RNA". It matches the Rfam family "Bacterial small subunit ribosomal RNA", at positions 524 to 776 of the family's 1533-position model. The record is from RNAcentral.
UACAGAGGGGGCAAGCGUUGUUCGGAAUUACUGGGCGUAAAGGGCGCGUAGGCGGCUUGGUCAGUCCCGUGUGAAAUCCCUCGGCUCAACUGAGGAACUGCACGGGAAACUGCCUGGCUUGAGUUCGGGAGAGGGAAGCGGAAUUCCAGGUGUAGCGGUGAAAUGCGUAGAUAUCUGGAGGAACACCGGUGGCGAAGGCGGCGUUCUGGACUGCAACUGACACUGAGGAACGAAAGCCAGGGGAGCAAACGGG